Molecule: long non-coding RNA, 831 nt
Organism: Oncorhynchus tshawytscha (Chinook salmon)
Lineage: Eukaryota; Metazoa; Chordata; Actinopteri; Salmoniformes; Salmonidae
Source: Ensembl
GAGAGGAAGAGGAGGUCAGAGAGAGAGAGAGGAAGAGGAGGUCAGAGAGAGAGAGAGAGGAAGAGGAGGUCAAAGAGAGAGAGAGAGAGAGAGAGGAAGAGAAAGGCAGAGGAGGUCAAAGAGAGAGAGAGAGGAAGAGAAAGGCAGGAGGUCAAAGAGAGGGAGGAAGAGGAGGUCAAAGAGAGAGAGGAAGAGGAAGGCAGAGGAGGUCAAAGGGAGAGAGAGAGAGGAAGAGGAAGUCAAAGAGAGAGAGGAAGAGGAAGGAAGAGAAAGGCAGAGGAGGUCAAAGAGAGAGAGGAAGAGGAGGUCAAAGAGAGCUAGGAAGAGGAAGGCAGAGGAGGUAAAAGAGAGAGAGAGAGAGAGAGAGGAAGAGGAAGGCAGAGGAGGUCAAAAGAGAGAGAGGGAGGAAGAGGAGGUCAAAGAGAGAGAGGAAGAGGAAGGAAGAGGAGGUCAAAGAGAGAGAGGAAGAGGAAGGCAGAGGAGGUCAAAGAGAGAGAGAGAGAGAGGAAGAGGAGGUCAGAGAGAGAGAGAGAGAGGAAGAGGAGGUCAGAGAGAGAGAGAGAGGAAGAGGAGGUCAGAGAGAGAGAGAGAGGAAGAGGAGGUCAAAGAGAGAGAGAGAGAGAGAGAGAGGAAGAGAAAGGCAGAGGAGGUCAAAGAGAGAGAGAGAGGAAGAGAAAGGCAGGAGGUCAAAGAGAGAGGGAGGAAGAGGAGGUCAAAGAGAGAGAGGAAGAGGAAGGAAGAGGAGGUCAAAGAGAGAGAGAGAGAGGAAGAGAAAGGCAGAGGAGGUCAAAGAGAGAGAGAGAGAGAGAGAGGAAGAGAAAGGCAGAGGAG